RNAcentral lists this non-coding RNA (48 nucleotides) under Trichobilharzia regenti. Lineage: Eukaryota; Metazoa; Platyhelminthes; Trematoda; Strigeidida; Schistosomatidae. The record is from RNAcentral.
AUCCAGACACCAACGAGUCCCAAAUAGGACGAAAUGCGCAUCCUGGAU